Molecule: non-coding RNA, 90 nt
Filed under: Clostridium massiliodielmoense
Lineage: Bacteria; Bacillati; Bacillota; Clostridia; Eubacteriales; Clostridiaceae
Description: TPP riboswitch (THI element)
Rfam family: TPP riboswitch aptamer (THI element)
About the family: Vitamin B(1) in its active form thiamin pyrophosphate (TPP) is an essential coenzyme that is synthesised by coupling of pyrimidine and thiazole moieties in bacteria. The previously detected thiamin-regulatory element, thi box was extended, resulting in a new, highly conserved RNA secondary structure, the THI element, which is widely distributed in eubacteria and also occurs in some archaea.
Source: RNAcentral
GUUGCAGGGGUGCCAUUAGGCUGAGAAGAAAUCUUUCUAACCCUUAGAACCUGAAACUAGAUAAUGCUAGCGGAGGAAGCAAUAAAAUUA